AGAUUGAACGCUAGCGGGAUGCUUUACACAUGCAAGUCGAACGGCAGCGCGGACUUCGGUCUGGCGGCGAGUGGCGAACGGGUGAGUAAUAUAUCGGAACGUGCCCAGUAGUGGGGGAUAACGUAGGGAAACUUACGCUAAUACCGCAUACGCCCUUCGGGGGAAAGCCGGGGACCAGCAAUGGCCUGGUGCUGAUAGAUGAGCCGAUGUCGGAUUAGCUAGUUGGUGAGGUAAUGGCUCACCAAGGCGACGAUCCGUAGCUGGUCUGAGAGGAUGAUCAGCCACACUGGAACUGAGACACGGUCCAGACUCCUACGGGAGGCAGCAGUGGGGAAUAUUGGACAAGUGGGCGCAAGCCUGAUCCAGCCAUACCGCGUGGGUGAAGAAGGCCUUCGGUUGUAAAGCCCUUUUGUAGGAAAGAAAGCAUUACGGUAAUACCGGUGUUCUGACGUACCAAGAAUAAGCACGGCUAACUCGCGCCACGCAGCCGCGUAA
RNAcentral lists this ribosomal RNA (495 nucleotides) under uncultured soil bacterium. RNAcentral's name for it is "bacterial SSU rRNA". It matches the Rfam family "Bacterial small subunit ribosomal RNA", at positions 26 to 522 of the family's 1533-position model. The record is from RNAcentral.